GGAGGGGUGGCAGAGCGGUCAAAUGCAACGGACUGUAAAUCCGUCGACUUUAGUCUACGAAAGUUCGAAUCUUUCCCCCUCCACCA
RNAcentral lists this transfer RNA (86 nucleotides) under Azospirillum sp. Its description in RNAcentral is "tRNA-Tyr". It matches the Rfam family "tRNA". From Rfam's summary of the family: Transfer RNA (tRNA) molecules are approximately 80 nucleotides in length. Their secondary structure includes four short double-helical elements and three loops (D, anti-codon, and T loops). The record is from RNAcentral. RNAcentral also lists the same sequence under 4 other names. Lineage: Bacteria; Pseudomonadati; Pseudomonadota; Alphaproteobacteria; Rhodospirillales; Azospirillaceae.